This 688-nucleotide ribosomal RNA is filed under the name uncultured bacterium. RNAcentral's name for it is "bacterial SSU rRNA". It matches the Rfam family "Bacterial small subunit ribosomal RNA", at positions 52 to 810 of the family's 1533-position model. The record is from RNAcentral.
CACAUGCAAGUCGAACGCCCCGCAAGGGGAGUGGCAGACGGGUGAGUAACGUGGGAAUCUACCCAUCUCUACGGAAUAACGCAUGGAAACGUGUGCUAAUACCGUAUACCCUACGGGGGAAAGAUUUAUCGGGGAUGGAUGAGCCCGCGUUGGAUUAGCUAGUUGGGGGUAAAGGCCUACCAAGGCGACGAUCCAUAGCUGGUCUGAGAGGAUGAUCAGCCACAGGGACUGAGACACGGCCCAAACUCCUACGGGAGGCAGCAGUGGGGAAUAUUGGACAAUGCGCAAGCCUGAUCCAGCCAUGCCGCGUGAGUGAUGAAGGCCUUAGGGUUGUAAAGCUUUCACCGGAGAAGAUAAUGACGGUAUCCGGAGAAGAAGCCCCGGCUAACUUCGUGCCAAGCCGCGGUAAUACGAAGGGGGCUAGCGUUGUUCGGAAUUACUGGGCGUAAAGCGCACAGGCGGACUUUUAAGUCAGGGGUGAAAUCCCGGGGCUCAACCCCGGAACUGCCUUUGACUGGAAGUCUGGAGUAUGGAAGAGGUAAGUGGAAUUCCGAGUGUAGAGGUGAAAUUCGGAUAUUCGGAGGAACACCAGUGGCGAAGGCGGCUUACUGGUCCAUUACUGACGCUGAGGCGAAAGCGUGGGGAGCAAACAGGAUUAGAUACCCUGGUAGUCCACGCCGUAAACGAA